UAGUGAUGACAUUGUGGACAAGCUGC
Molecule: non-coding RNA, 26 nt
Filed under: Homo sapiens (human)
Lineage: Eukaryota; Metazoa; Chordata; Mammalia; Primates; Hominidae
Also listed under: 1 other name
Source: RNAcentral